GUGGGGAAUCUUGCACAAUGGGCGAAAGCCUGAUGCAGCCAUGCCGCGUGAAUGAUGAAGGCCUUAGGGUUGUAAAAUUCUUUCGUCAGGGAUGAUAAUGACCGUACCUGAAGAAGAAGCUCCGGCUAACUUCGUGCCAGCAGCCGCGGUAAUACGAAGGGGGCUAGCGUUGCUCGGAAUUACUGGGCGUAAAGGGCGCGUAGGCGGACAGCUUAGUCAGAGGUGAAAGCCCAGGGCUCAACCUUGGAAUUGCCUUUGAUACUGGCUGUCUUGAGUUUGGGAGAGGUGAGUGGAACUCCGAGUGUAGAGGUGAAAUUCGUAGAUAUUCGGAAGAACACCAGUGGCGAAGGCGACUCACUGGCCCAAUACUGACGCUGAGGCGCGAAAGCGUGGGGAGCAAACAGGAUUAGAAACCCUAGUAGUCC
This 425-nucleotide ribosomal RNA is filed under the name uncultured bacterium. RNAcentral describes it as "partial 16S ribosomal RNA". It matches the Rfam family "Bacterial small subunit ribosomal RNA", at positions 354 to 796 of the family's 1533-position model. The record is from RNAcentral.